GUUUUAUUUGUUUCAUUUAUGUUCUGAGAGGAAAGAGCGAUUUACCGCGUUUGAAAAGAUCUUGCAAAUUGAAUAAAGCUAAAACUACCGCAAAAUGUUGUGGUUUAGAGUAUAUUCCGAAAAUACCAAGUUCUGUAGUUAAAUUGAUAUUGGAAAAUAACCGUCUAUUUCAUAUCAGCAUGGACACAUUUCAAAAUGUUUCGAACAAUAACUUAACCAGUUUAUCAUUGAUUGAUAAUUCAGUAAAAGUAUUGACUUCAGACGCUUUUCAUAAUAUGAAAUAUCUGAAAUAUUUAGAAAUAUCACAUGAGAAGAAAUUAAAUAUAUCUUACUUGAAAAUGUCGU
RNAcentral lists this long non-coding RNA (345 nucleotides) under Mytilus galloprovincialis (Mediterranean mussel). The record is from RNAcentral. Lineage: Eukaryota; Metazoa; Mollusca; Bivalvia; Mytilida; Mytilidae.